CUACGGGCCGCUCCAGUGGGGAAUAUUGGACAAUGGGGGAAACCCUGAUCCAGCAAUGCCGCGUGUGUGAAGAAGGCCUGCGGGUUGUAAAGCACUUUCGGUUGGGAGGACUGCUUCUAGCACUAAUAUUGUUGGAAGUUGACGUUACCUUCAGAAGAAGCACCGGCUAACUCCGUGCCAGCAGCCGCGGUAAUACGGAGGGUGCAAGCGUUAAUCGGAAUUACUGGGCGUAAAGCGCGCGUAGGCGGCUAGAUCAGUCGGGUGUGAAAGCCCCGGGCUUAACCUGGGAACUGCAUCCGAUACUGUCUAGCUUGAGUACAGGAGAUGAGAGUGGAAUUCCACAUGUAGCGGUGAAAUGCGUAGAUAUGUGGAGGAACACCAAUGGCGAAGGCAGCUCUCUGGCCUGAUACUGACGCUGAGGUGCGAAAGCGUGGGGAUCAAACAGGAUUAGAUACCCUCGUAGUC
RNAcentral lists this ribosomal RNA (465 nucleotides) under uncultured bacterium. Its description in RNAcentral is "partial 16S ribosomal RNA". It matches the Rfam family "Bacterial small subunit ribosomal RNA", at positions 339 to 795 of the family's 1533-position model. The record is from RNAcentral.